UACGGAGGAUGCGAGCGUUAUCCGGAUUUAUUGGGUUUAAAGGGUGCGUAGGCGGCUUUUUAAGUCAGUGGUGAAAUUUUGCAGCUUAACUGUAACAGUGCCGUUGAUACUGGGGAGCUAGGAUUUGGUUGCUGUGGGUGGAAUGUGUGGUGUAGCGGUGAAAUGCUUAGAGAUCACACAGAAUAUCGAUUGCGAAGGCAGCUCACAAAGCCAAGAUUGACGCUGAGGCACGAAAGCGUGGGGAUCAAACAGGAUUAGA
RNAcentral lists this ribosomal RNA (259 nucleotides) under uncultured prokaryote. RNAcentral describes it as "partial 16S ribosomal RNA". It matches the Rfam family "Bacterial small subunit ribosomal RNA", at positions 524 to 782 of the family's 1533-position model. The record is from RNAcentral.